This 90-nucleotide ribosomal RNA is filed under the name Streptomyces sp. RSD-27. RNAcentral's name for it is "partial 16S ribosomal RNA". It matches the Rfam family "Bacterial small subunit ribosomal RNA", at positions 1 to 90 of the family's 1533-position model. The record is from RNAcentral. Lineage: Bacteria; Bacillati; Actinomycetota; Actinomycetes; Kitasatosporales; Streptomycetaceae.
CAUUCAUGGAGAGUUUGAUCCUGGCUCAGGACGAACGCUGGCGGCGUGCUUAACACAUGCAAGUCGAACGAUGAAGCCCUUCGGGGUGGA